RNAcentral lists this ribosomal RNA (468 nucleotides) under uncultured bacterium. RNAcentral's name for it is "partial 16S ribosomal RNA". It matches the Rfam family "Bacterial small subunit ribosomal RNA", at positions 28 to 507 of the family's 1533-position model. The record is from RNAcentral.
GAUGAACGCUGGCGGCGUGCUUAACACAUGCAAGUCGAACGGUGAAGGCGGAGCUUGCUCUGCUGGAUCAGUGGCGAACGGGGGAGUAACACGUGAGCAAUCUGCCCCUGACUCUGGGAUAAGCGCUGGAAACGGCGUCUAAUACUGGAUACGAGCUGCGAAGGCAUCUUCAGCAGCUGGAAAGAACUUCGGUCAGGGAUGAGCUCGCGGCCUAUCAGCUUGUUGGUGAGGUAACGGCUCACCAAGGCGUCGACGGGUAGCCGGCCUGAGAGGGUGACCGGCCACACUGGGACUGAGACACGGCCCAGACUCCUACGGGAGGCAGCAGUGGGGAAUAUUGCACAAUGGGCGCAAGCCUGAUGCAGCAACGCCGCGUGAGGGACGACGGCCUUCGGGUUGUAAACCUCUUUUAGCAGGGAAGACGCGAAAGUGACGGUACCUGAAGAAAAAGCGCCGGCUAACUACGUG